GUUAAGCGACUAAGCGUACACGGUGGAUGCCCUGGCAGUCAGAGGCGAUGAAGGACGUGCUAAUCUGCGAUAAGCGUCGGUAAGGUGAUAUGAACCGUUAUAACCGGCGAUUUCCGAAUGGGGAAACCCAGUGUGAUUCGUCACACUAUCAUUAACUGAAUCCAUAGGUUAAUGAGGCGAACCGGGGGAACUGAAACAUCUAAGUACCCCGAGGAAAAGAAAUCAACCGAGAUUCCCCCAGUAGCGGCGAGCGAACGGGGAGCAGCCCAGAGCCUGAAUCAGUGUGUGUGUUAGUGGAAGCGUCUGGAAAGGCGCGCGAUACAGGGUGACAGCCCCGUACACAAAAAUGCACAUACUGUGAGCUCGAUGAGUAGGGCGGGACACGUGGUAUCCUGUCUGAAUAUGGGGGGACCAUCCUCCAAGGCUAAAUACUCCUGACUGACCGAUAGUGAACCAGUACCGUGAGGGAAAGGCGAAAAGAACCCCGGCGAGGGGAGUGAAAAAGAACCUGAAACCGUGUACGUACAAGCAGUGGGAGCACGCUUAGGCGUGUGACUGCGUACCUUUUGUAUAAUGGGUCAGCGACUUAUAUUCUGUAGCAAGGUUAACCGAAUAGGGGAGCCGAAGGGAAACCGAGUCUUAACUGGGCGUUAAGUUGCAGGGUAUAGACCCGAAACCCGGUGAUCUAGCCAUGGGCAGGUUGAAGGUUGGGUAACACUAACUGGAGGACCGAACCGACUAAUGUUGAAAAAUUAGCGGAUGACUUGUGGCUGGGGGUGAAAGGCCAAUCAAACCGGGAGAUAGCUGGUUCUCCCCGAAAGCUAUUUAGGUAGCGCCUCGUGAAUUCAUCUCCGGGGGUAGAGCACUGUUUCGGCAAGGGGGUCAUCCCGACUUACCAACCCGAUGCAAACUGCGAAUACCGGAGAAUGUUAUCACGGGAGACACACGGCGGGUGCUAACGUCCGUCGUGAAGAGGGAAACAACCCAGACCGCCAGCUAAGGUCCCAAAGUCAUGGUUAAGUGGGAAACGAUGUGGGAAGGCCCAGACAGCCAGGAUGUUGGCUUAGAAGCAGCCAUCAUUUAAAGAAAGCGUAAUAGCUCACUGGUCGAGUCGGCCUGCGCGGAAGAUGUAACGGGGCUAAACCAUGCACCGAAGCUGCGGCAGCGACGCUGAUGCGUUGUUGGGUAGGGGAGCGUUCUGUAAGCCUGUGAAGGUGUGCUGUGAGGCAUGCUGGAGGUAUCAGAAGUGCGAAUGCUGACAUAAGUAACGAUAAAGCGGGUGAAAAGCCCGCUCGCCGGAAGACCAAGGGUUCCUGUCCAACGUUAAUCGGGGCAGGGUGAGUCGACCCCUAAGGCGAGGCCGAAAGGCGUAGUCGAUGGGAAACAGGUUAAUAUUCCUGUACUUGGUGUUACUGCGAAGGGGGGACGGAGAAGGCUAUGUUGGCCGGGCGACGGUUGUCCCGGUUUAAGCGUGUAGGCUGGUUUUCCAGGCAAAUCCGGAAAAUCAAGGCUGAGGCGUGAUGACGAGGCACUACGGUGCUGAAGCAACAAAUGCCCUGCUUCCAGGAAAAGCCUCUAAGCAUCAGGUAACAUCAAAUCGUACCCCAAACCGACACAGGUGGUCAGGUAGAGAAUACCAAGGCGCUUGAGAGAACUCGGGUGAAGGAACUAGGCAAAAUGGUGCCGUAACUUCGGGAGAAGGCACGCUGAUAUGUAGGUGAAGCGACUUGCUCGUGGAGCUGAAAUCAGUCGAAGAUACCAGCUGGCUGCAACUGUUUAUUAAAAACACAGCACUGUGCAAACACGAAAGUGGACGUAUACGGUGUGACGCCUGCCCGGUGCCGGAAGGUUAAUUGAUGGGGUCAGCGCAAGCGAAGCUCUUGAUCGAAGCCCCGGUAAACGGCGGCCGUAACUAUAACGGUCCUAAGGUAGCGAAAUUCCUUGUCGGGUAAGUUCCGACCUGCACGAAUGGCGUAAUGAUGGCCAGGCUGUCUCCACCCGAGACUCAGUGAAAUUGAACUCGCUGUGAAGAUGCAGUGUACCCGCGGCAAGACGGAAAGACCCCGUGAACCUUUACUAUAGCUUGACACUGAACAUUGAGCCUUGAUGUGUAGGAUAGGUGGGAGGCUUUGAAGUGUGGACGCCAGUCUGCAUGGAGCCGGCCUUGAAAUACCACCCUUUAAUGUUUGAUGUUCUAACGUUGACCCGUGAUCCGGGUUGCGGACAGUGUCUGGUGGGUAGUUUGACUGGGGCGGUCUCCUCCUAAAGAGUAACGGAGGAGCACGAAGGUUGGCUAAUCCUGGUCGGACAUCAGGAGGUUAGUGCAAUGGCAUAAGCCAGCUUGACUGCGAGCGUGACGGCGCGAGCAGGUGCGAAAGCAGGUCAUAGUGAUCCGGUGGUUCUGAAUGGAAGGGCCAUCGCUCAACGGAUAAAAGGUACUCCGGGGAUAACAGGCUGAUACCGCCCAAGAGUUCAUAUCGACGGCGGUGUUUGGCACCUCGAUGUCGGCUCAUCACAUCCUGGGGCUGAAGUAGGUCCCAAGGGUAUGGCUGUUCGCCAUUUAAAGUGGUACGCGAGCUGGGUUUAGAACGUCGUGAGACAGUUCGGUCCCUAUCUGCCGUGGGCGCUGGAGAACUG
RNAcentral lists this ribosomal RNA (2637 nucleotides) under Escherichia coli. Its description in RNAcentral is "partial 23S ribosomal RNA". It matches the Rfam family "Bacterial large subunit ribosomal RNA". Lineage: Bacteria; Pseudomonadati; Pseudomonadota; Gammaproteobacteria; Enterobacterales; Enterobacteriaceae. The record is from RNAcentral.